CAAGAAAAUAUUCUCUGUUGAUGGACAAGUUUUGAGCUACAGUUGCUCACCCUAGUAAGGGCAGCGCAGUGGUUAUUAACCAUUUGCCCCCGUACCUCACAGUGCUUCUAUGUUAACAUAUUACAGGCGGCAGACGGCACGAGAACUCUGCUGUAUAGUGUAAGCUUCAGCCCCACCCCUGGAGUGACCUUGUGAUACUACUGCUGUAAAGUGGCCACCCUGUGGGGCGCUCCUGACUGCCACUCCCUGUAUGCAGCCUUCGUCAGUGCUGACAGCCAAUCUGUGCAACCCUUCGUAGUUGCACGUUGGCACUUCACAAACUAAUCAAACAACAGCAGUGCAUACUUUAAGACAAGCAGAUUGCAGGAAAACAAUGCUAUAUAGUGAUAUUGUCUUUUGGCCAUGAAGAUAAUGUGCUCUUAAACUUGACAAAAAAGCACUGGAAUAAACAGUGAUAAAGUGGUCAAGGAAAAACAAAGUAUAACAUUUUGUCUUGUGAUGGAGCCCUGGCCUGUCGCCACUUGACUCCAUGAUAAGGUUUUCUGUGUCAGGCCUUAGAUAGAAAUCUCUAUAUGAUGUCACAUGAUUAAGGAAGGAGAGACAGGACAACUGGCAUAGAAGGAUUGCAUAUAGUGAAGAAAUAUUUAUCGUAAGUCUAGUGAUUUAUUAUUGAUUGUAUUUACUGAAUGUUAAGGCAUGAAUGACCAAGUGACAUGAGGGAUCCUGAGCGUUGUGAAUGGGUGUUGUAAUGUUGCAGUGAGGAAAGAAUAGUGGUGCUUUGUGAGUUUUUUCUUUUUUUUUUUCUUCUCUCAUUACACUAUAAAAAGAAAUAAAGGAAUGCGGCAUGGAAGCCAUCUCCAGUGUGGGUUAUACGCCAACUGUACAGAAAGAUAUGGGUUUCUCUCAACCCUUUGAAAACAGUUCAUGUGUGUGAGACAUAGUAAACACAGUUUGAUAAUGCUUUUUUAUUUGCAUAUAUGUGCUCAUGUAUAACACUGUUAUAAAAAGUUAUAUGAUUGGUGGUAUUAUGUGAUCAUUGUUUAUCAGAUUUAUUAAGAGUUGAAUCCUUUAAUAUAGGUUGGAGAUUUUUGGUACUGCAUUAUAUUAAUUGUUAUAUAAGAUUUUGUUCAACUUUUAUGAAGGCAGAGAAGUUUGAAUUUUUAUAUCAUUCCCUGUAGACCUUUGCAUUUAUCAAUGAUGGUGUUAGAGUAAGAGUUUGAUGUAUAGAUAUUCCAGUUGGCAAAGGUAAUUGUAGGUUUUUUGAAUAAUGUACAAUAUCGAAAAUACAGGCCAAAGGGUUAUUCUGUCAUUUGAUUACAUCUCUGGAAAUUAUUUAUAAAGCUUGUAGAGUGUUUGGCACCGGAAGAAUGCUGCAUUAUAUACUGCACAGUCAGCUCUGUUGGAGCACCAAGACAAGCAUCUGUAAGAGGGAACUAUCAUUCAAUUUUUACACAUGGUUGUAUUUAAUUAAAGGAUAAAAACUUAGCUCUCAGGUUGGAGAUGACAUGUUUUAUAUUUCAUGUCCUCUUUUUUUCCCCACCUGGUAAAUAGUACCAGAUUCCUUUCCACCCACCACCAUGUCCACUCCCAGAUGUUUCCUGUUUGUUCACUUAGUGCCUGUCCAUUUAGUAGCCCAGACUACAUCACACAUUUCUGUUCCUAUUUCAUUUCUGUAAUUAUGUAUCUUCCUAAAACAACAAAAUGAGAAGACCUUUUUGUAGUGUUUUUCUACUUUUCAUCACAUUUUUAUGAGUUCUGAACAAGUAGUGUUUUAUUUUAAUGAGGUGUAUCAUUCCUAUGUCCUUCAAAAAAAUAAAUGAAUAAAUAAAUCACUCAUUGUAAAUUAAUCUGGGAUCCUCGUAGGCUUACCCAAGAGACCCAUGUUUAUGCUAACCUUCCCUGCUCCCCAUAUGCUAACCUCCCUUUCCACCCUCAUGCUCACCCUGAACCUGAUCUGUACGCUCACAAUAGCCCCUCCCAACACCUCUCAUGGUGCCCCAAGUCCACAUUAUUAGGGAGUGCUGGAACAGAUUUGUCAUCAGCUCAAAGUAUUUUUUAUGUUUGAAAUAAAAGGCAUUGCAAGAAAAUGGAAAUACUGGUGAGCCUGACAGUGGUAUAUACAGUAACUUUGGGCCUUGGCUUUGCUCCCACUUGGUUUGGUUAGAUACUGAAAUGCUGUCUGUUCUAUAAUUCAUCAGUCAUACUUUGAUACAAUUGGUGUACAAGAAAAAUACAGUCUCUCACAAUAAGAGGUUGCAUCUUUGAUCUUUAAUUCUAUGAGGGAGCCUAACUGAUGCUCAUUGUGAAGUUCCUGCACUCACCAUAUGUGUAGAAGUGUGUCAAAGUGUAUGUAUGUAUGACGGAUGGAAACAAAUUUUUUUAUAUAUUUCACUAACUUGUGUUGGUAAGGAAAGAUGCACUCAUGUUUACCAUGUGCCCUGUGUCAUGUAGCAUUAAGCGAGUAAAAAUUUUGUACUAAAUAUUUAUCUUCAUAUCUUGCAGAAAUACCACAAACUUAAGAGCUUUGGUGGGUAUUAAAAUAUCCAGUUCCAAAGCAUGUUCAGUCCUCAUUAUGGAGUAUAUACAAGUUGUUCUAAACAGUAAUAUGCAGUGUUCAUAUUUGUCAGGGAUCACAGGAUUCCUAGCAUGUGAAAAAGAGCCUUUUUUUUUGCUAUGGUCACUUGAUUAAUUUUUGAUAUUCUAGCAUUCCAAAGAGAAAGUUAUGGACCAAAGAGUGCAAUAGCCAUAGCUUACAGUUUUGAUCUUUGCCCAUUUGUGUUAAUCUACUUUCUCUCAUGCUUUUUAGGUCAGUGAAUUAUACUUUACAGUCAGAUAUUUAGAACAAAAAGUGUUUGUAUAUGUUCAUUAAAAUGGCAGUAUUGAAAUUCUUGAUGUUCUUUCAUUUUGUGAAAAAAAAUCACACUUGGGUAAUAAUUGGUGCUCUAACUAUACCUGGAUAAGAGCAUGAGGAUGAUGAUAAAUGUGGAUCCCAGGUAUCAUUUAUAUGUUUUUGAAAAUUGACCUAUUCAUUAAUUAUAGUAAGUAUUAUUUUUGUGAUAUUGCUAAAAAUUUUGAUUUCUCUUGGUAUGAUUUUCAAAAAUCCAUUUGAUCCCCCGUCCAAAUUUCGGCCAUAUUCCUUGCCCUUUGUCUAGCCCUGAAGAGCACCCAAGUGACCUUCCAGAGAUACCCAGAAAAUUGUGAUGCAAGUAUGGCCAUGUAUUUAGUGCUGAUGGAUCAGUACUAAAUCCCAUCACACAAAACCAAAUGGGAAAUGUUUUAACACAUUUUAAAAGACAUUCCCAAGAAGAAAAUGAAGGUCUCUGAGUGCUUAUGGUCUGAAGAACUAUAGCCUUCAGAGUUGUGUCUAAAGUUAAAGCAAUUUUUUGUUGAGAUUUUCCCCUGUUUUGAAGCACAAACUUCAAGAAUCUAGGUUGUUAGACAUUUUUCAAAAUUUGCUCAUUCAAGACAUAACAAUAAGGAGAUUUAGCAUUUUAUCUGAAAAAUGUAACAGUGGGAAAUGCAUAUAUAUUUAUACAAUUGUUUAUUUGUGUUAUGUAAUGCUUAUGUAUGAUUUUAAUAUUUGUCAGUGCUGAAUGACACUAAUUACAUUGGUAAUGUCUUAUUGAAAAAGUUAUUGAACAUAUUACAGCAUUGCACAUAGCACAGCAUCUGAUUAAAUCAGUUCUUUAAGUUCUGUGAAUAUUUAUGAAAGGAAUCAGAAGAAGCAUCAGUAUUAUAACAGCUUUUAGACACAGCUCUCUAGUUUCCAAAAGUACCUAAAGAUGCUCCAUAUCAAGACGUGAACCAUAUGUUGGCUGUAAAGUGUAUAUUGGGCAUUAUGAUUGCACAAUCCAUCACAGACUUCCCAGGACAGCCUGAAAUAAUAAUACAUUGAUAUAGGUUUGCCUUUAUUCUGUAUUUUAAAAGUAACUUGAAAUAUUUUAUGUACAGCCUCUUUAUUCCCUAUUGUCAGUUUGAUGUUCUGUACCUAGCCUGAAGGUAAUAUUGCACAGUGCUGUUUUGUGCAACCUUAUUGCUAGCUUAAUGAUAAGAAUCACCAGAAGCCAUUAAGACAUAUUUUCAAGUCACUGAUUUGAGAAUUGACUGGGAAAAAUCAUAUGGGUUAAUCUGCUAAAUGAUUCAUAUCACAAUGUUAGUAAAAAAAAAAGAAAAAAAAAAAAAAAGAAAAAAGAAAAUCAAACAAAGGAAAAAAAUCAAUAGAAGAGAAGUUUGUAAAAUCUAGCACUGCGUAAUAAGACCAUAGAUACACACUAAUCCUUUAUGUUUACAUGAUGCAUCUGGGCAUAAAUUAGUUUUAAUAUGUUUCCAUAUAUGUAGUAUGAUCAUUGUUACAGUCAGUACACACUUGAUAUUAACGUGAGUGACAUCAUUUCUUAGAACUCAGUGUUUUAUGAUCACUCCAUAUGUUUAAUAAAUAAAUGAUGUGUGCUUUUUA
Penaeus monodon (black tiger shrimp) is the source of this 4456-nucleotide long non-coding RNA. RefSeq lists it as uncharacterized. The transcript has 2 exons. The record is from RefSeq and is a predicted model, not a curated record. NCBI's taxonomy places the organism in Eukaryota, Metazoa, Arthropoda, Malacostraca, Decapoda, Penaeidae.